GAACGGGAUGGAACCAGGCGGCCGAAAGGUCUGUUCUGGCCCAUUCGUUCUCAACUAUGGGAUACCCACCUUUGCUCUUAACUGGGUGAAGGCAACAAGCGUGUCGGUGGUAUGCGUUUCGCGCGUGUAUCACCGGUGCGUGGGGUUCCCAUUCGUUCACCGAGAAUAAAUCGGGGUGUUCAAAGCAGGCAAAAAGGAGCCGCUGAACGCUACAGCUUGGGAUGAUGGAACAGGACUUUGGUUCGAUGUUUCGUCGGUUUCUAGGAUCGAAGUA
Molecule: ribosomal RNA, 274 nt
Filed under: uncultured fungus
Lineage: Eukaryota; Fungi
Description: partial small subunit ribosomal RNA
Source: RNAcentral